This is a long non-coding RNA of Limulus polyphemus (Atlantic horseshoe crab), 391 nucleotides long. RefSeq lists it as uncharacterized. The record is from RefSeq and is a predicted model, not a curated record. The transcript is spliced from 3 exons. NCBI's taxonomy places the organism in Eukaryota, Metazoa, Arthropoda, Merostomata, Xiphosura, Limulidae.
CUAGGUACAGUCAGGUUAUGGAGUAGAUGUGGGAAUGUUAAUGUCUAGGUACAGUCAGGUUAUGGAGUAAAUGUGGGAAUGUUAAUGUCUAGGUACAGUCGGGUUAUGGAGUAGAUGUGGGAAUGUUAAUGUCUAGGUACAGUCAGGUUAUGGAUAGAUGUGGGAAUGUUAAUGUCUAGGUACAGUCAGGUUAUGGAGUAGAUGUGGGAAUGUUAAUGCCUAGGUACAGUCAGGUUAUGGAGUAGAUGUGGGAAUGUUAAUGCCUAGGUACAGUCAGGUUAUGGAGUAGAUGUGGGAAUGUUAAUGUCUAGGUACAGUCAGGUUAUGGAGUAGAUGUGGGAAUGUUAAUGCCUAGGUACAGUCAGGUUAUGAAUGUGUAUGGGAAUGUUAA